Molecule: transfer RNA, 65 nt
Filed under: Scolytinae sp. BMNH 1040146
Lineage: Eukaryota; Metazoa; Arthropoda; Insecta; Coleoptera; Curculionidae
Description: tRNA-Thr
Source: RNAcentral
GUUUUAAUAAUUUAAGCUAAAAUAUUGAUUUUGUAAAUCAAAAAUAAGAUCCUACUUUUAAAACU